AUUGAACGCUGGCGGAAUGCUUUACACAUGCAAGUCGAACGGCAGCACGGGGCAACCUGGUGGCGAGUGGCGAACGGGUGAGUAAUAUAUCGGAACGUGCCCAAUCGUGGGGGAUAACGUAGCGAAAGUUACGCUAAUACCGCAUACGAUCUACGGAUGAAAGCGGGGGAUCGCAAGACCUCGCGCGAAUGGAGCGGCCGAUAUCAGAUUAGGUAGUUGGUGGGGUAAAGGCUCACCAAGCCAACGAUCUGUAGCUGGUCUGAGAGGACGACCAGCCACACUGGAACUGAGACACGGUCCAGACUCCUACGGGAGGCAGCAGUGGGGAAUUUUGGACAAUGGGGGCAACCCUGAUCCAGCCAUGCCGCGUGAGUGAAGAAGGCCUUCGGGUUGUAAAGCUCUUUCAGCCGGGAAGAAACGCAUUGGUAAUACCUGAUGUGGAUGACGGUACCGGAAUAAGAAGCACCGGCUAACUACGUGCCACGCACGCCGCGGUAAUCCU
This 502-nucleotide ribosomal RNA is filed under the name uncultured bacterium. RNAcentral's name for it is "bacterial SSU rRNA". It matches the Rfam family "Bacterial small subunit ribosomal RNA", at positions 30 to 527 of the family's 1533-position model. The record is from RNAcentral.